AGUGAACGCUGGCGGUAGGCCUAACACAUGCAAGUCGAACGGCAGCACAGUAAGAGCUUGCUCUUACGGGUGGCGAGUGGCGGACGGGUGAGGAAUACAUCGGAAUCUACUUUUUCGUGGGGGAUAACGUAGGGAAACUUACGCUAAUACCGCAUACGACCUACGGGUGAAAGCAGGGGAUCUUCGGACCUUGCGCGAUUGAAUGAGCCGAUGUCGGAUUAGCUAGUUGGCGGGGUAAAGGCCCACCAAGGCGACGAUCCGUAGCUGGUGUGAGAGGAUGAUCGGCCACACUGGAACGUGGACGGCCUCCAUGGGCCUGCGAGAGGCAGCAGUGUCGAAUAGUGGACAGUGGGCGGAAACAUUAUUCAGCCAUCCGGAGCGGGUGAAGGAGGCGUUGGGGUUGUAAAGCCCUUUUGCUGGGAAAGAAAAGCAGCAGGUUAAUACCAAGCUGGUCUGACGGUAAUGAAAGAAUAAGCACCGGCUAACUUCGUG
Molecule: ribosomal RNA, 492 nt
Filed under: uncultured bacterium
Lineage: Bacteria
Description: partial 16S ribosomal RNA
Rfam family: Bacterial small subunit ribosomal RNA
Source: RNAcentral